AAAAUAUAUAUAUAAAAAAGUAAGUAGUUUUUAAAUAAAUCUUGAAAGUCAGGAUACAUAAACGAAUAUUUCCAAUUUUUUUUUAAAUUUUAAAUUUAAAAAAAAAGGGAGGGGGGUCAAUCCCAAAUGUGCCUGUGCAGUUUUCUAAAUCUUUUUAAAUUUUACAAUUUUGUGUUUAAAACAUCUGUUAGUUAAGUAAUAUUAUCAGUCGCCUUAUCAGUAUGACUGACAGAUUUAUAGCACUACUUAAUUAUUUUAUAAUUGAGAGAAGAUAUGAAAUUUUCACUUUCUUGUGCAUGGAUCUAGGACUGCAAAUCUAUCCUCUGAAACUUAUGUGCAAAAUUUAAUCAAACCUUACAACAAUCAUCUUUUGGGUAUCUAGAUUUUUAAAAGCGUGUCUGUCAGAUUACCCUCCUUUCAACCAAGAUUGCUGACAUGGCUAAAACAGGGGUAAAAUGCAAAUUUUGUCUAUCAAUUUGAAAAACGUUUCAAAUAGAGAAAAUCUGACAGGAGAAAAAUUUCAAAAUGUUGAGCUUUACCAAUUGUCCUUUUAUGUCUGAUUACUACUUAUAUGAGUUAUUGCCCUUAAAUAAAUUUUACCUAUUUUUUCAAUUUAGCCUAUUUUCAUGAAAACUAUAUUGAUAAAGAUACACUGUAAAUAGUAAAAAUGAUCAACAAAACAUGUUCUACACAUAAGUCUAAAGAUCAACAAACCUGAUUUUGGUCAUGAAUUCUACUUUCUAUGAUACCUUUUGAAGGCAAGUCCUCUGAGACUGUUGUACAAAAAUCUUCCAGAGUCACUGACUUGGUUGGAUUAUAUGUCAUGUGCAGUGGAUCGUUGUGUAUUUUCUUUGUGAUUUGGAAAUUCUUGCCGCAGUUAUAGAAGGUACCUAUAUAUUUACAGAACAAAUUUCUAAAUAUCUUGUCUUUCCCUCUGUUAAAUCUAUUGACCAGUACUAUAUGUGUCUUUCCAUCUGUUAUAUCUAUCAACCAGUACUAUAUGUGUCUUUCCCCUAUUUAAAAAAUGUGUAGUCCUAUGACUUGGAAAAGAAAGGAGAAACAGAAAUACAAAUCAAACAGUCAAAUGCUAUUUUUAAUGAUAUUUUUAACUAUGUUGAAGUGCUUCCUUUGAAUAAAUUUGUAUCCUUUUAAUAUUAUGUUUAUUGAUUAAAAGCUUAUUGCCAU
RNAcentral lists this long non-coding RNA (1185 nucleotides) under Mytilus galloprovincialis (Mediterranean mussel). The record is from RNAcentral. Lineage: Eukaryota; Metazoa; Mollusca; Bivalvia; Mytilida; Mytilidae.